This 64-nucleotide transfer RNA is filed under the name Lepomis gulosus. Its description in RNAcentral is "tRNA-Cys". The record is from RNAcentral. Lineage: Eukaryota; Metazoa; Chordata; Actinopteri; Centrarchiformes; Centrarchidae.
AGCUCUGGGGUGUAACAUAUUAGAUUGCAAAUCUAAAGAAGCAGGCUAACGUCUGCCGGGGCUU